RNAcentral lists this microRNA precursor (142 nucleotides) under Mesocricetus auratus (golden hamster). Its description in RNAcentral is "MIR480 microRNA precursor family". It matches the Rfam family "MIR480 microRNA precursor family". Lineage: Eukaryota; Metazoa; Chordata; Mammalia; Rodentia; Cricetidae. The record is from Rfam by way of RNAcentral.
UUUUCCUCUUGCCUUGUUGUCAAAUUUGUUAUAGAAACACCAAAACUAAUAGCUUCGAGUUUUACUUCAUAUGCCUAACAACUUCUUUGAAAUUUAAAAACACAUAAUGAUAUGUCUUAGAAAGCAAACUGUAGGAAGGAAG